UACGGAGGGGGCGAGCGUUAUUCGGAAUUAUUGGGCGUAAAGGGCGCGUAGGCGGCCCGGUAAGUCAAAGGUGAAAUCCCUCGGCUCAACUGAGGAACUGCCUUUGAAACUGUCGGGCUUGAGGCCGGGAGGGGGUAGCGGAAUUCCCAGUGUAGCGGUGAAAUGCGUAGAUAUUGGGAGGAACACCAGUGGCGAAGGCGGCUACCUGGACCGGUUCUGACGCUGAUGCGCGAAAGCGUGGGGAGCGAACAGG
This 253-nucleotide ribosomal RNA is filed under the name uncultured bacterium. Its description in RNAcentral is "partial 16S ribosomal RNA". It matches the Rfam family "Bacterial small subunit ribosomal RNA", at positions 524 to 776 of the family's 1533-position model. The record is from RNAcentral.